UACGUAGGGGGCAAGCGUUGUCCGGAUUUAUUGGGCGUAAAGAGCGUGUAGGCGGCCUGACAGGUCUGCUGUGAAAACUCGAGGCUCAACCUCGAGAUGUCGGCGGAAACCGUCUGGCUAGAGUCCGGAAGAGGAGAGUGGAAUUCCUGGUGUAGCGGUGAGAUGCGCAGAUAUCAGGAAGAACACCUAUGGCGAAGGCAGCUCUCUGGGACGGUACUGACGCUGAGACGCGAAAGCGUGGGGAGCGAACAGG
RNAcentral lists this ribosomal RNA (253 nucleotides) under uncultured bacterium. Its description in RNAcentral is "partial 16S ribosomal RNA". It matches the Rfam family "Bacterial small subunit ribosomal RNA", at positions 524 to 776 of the family's 1533-position model. The record is from RNAcentral.